This 430-nucleotide ribosomal RNA is filed under the name uncultured rumen bacterium. RNAcentral's name for it is "bacterial SSU rRNA". It matches the Rfam family "Bacterial small subunit ribosomal RNA", at positions 354 to 776 of the family's 1533-position model. The record is from RNAcentral.
GUGGGGAAUCUUCCGCAAUGGGCGAAAGCCUGACGGAGCAACGCCGCGUGAGUGAAGAAGGCCUUCGGGUCGUAAAGCUCUGUUGUCGGGGACGAAUGUAGCGCUUAUCAACAACGAGUGCUAAUGACGGUACCUGACGAGGAAGCCACGGCUAACUACGUGCCAGCAGCCGCGGUAAUACGUAGGUGGCGAGCGUUGUCCGGAAUUAUUGGGCGUAAAGGGAGCGCAGGCGGGAGGCCAAGUCCAUCCUAAAAGUUCGGGGCUCAACCCCGUGAGGGGAUGGAAACUGGUCUUCUUGAGUGCAGGAGAGGAAAGCGGAAUUCCUAGUGUAGCGGUGAAAUGCGUAGAUAUUAGGAGGAACACCAGUGGCGAAGGCGGCUUUCUGGACUGUAACUGACGCUGAGGCUCGAAAGCCAGGGGAGCGAACGGG